GCCGGACCUGACUGCUAUCGGAUUGAUACUAAGCCAUGCGAGUCAUUGUAGCAAUACAAGGCAGACGGCUCAGUAACGCGUAGUCAACCUAACCUAUGGACGGGAAUAACCUCGGGAAACUGAGAAUAAUGCCCGAUAGAACACUAUACCUGGAAUGGUUUGUGUUCUAAAUGAUUUAUCGCCGUAGGAUGGGACUGCGGCCUAUCAGUUUGUUGGUGAGGUAAUGGCCCACCAAGACUAUUACAGGUACGGGCUCUGAGAGGAGUAGCCCGGAGAUGGGUACUGAGACACGGACCCAGGCCCUAUGGGGCGCAGCAGGCGAGAAAACUUUGCAAUGUGCGAAAGCACGACAAGGUUAAUCCGAGUGAUUUGUGCUAAACGAAUCUUUUGUUAGUCCUAGAACCACUAACGAAUAAGGGGUGGGCAAGUUCUGGUGUCAGCCGCCGCGGUAAAACCAGCACCUCAAGUGGUCAGGAUGAUUAUUGGGCCUAAAGCAUCCGUAGCCGGCUCUGUAAGUUUUCGGUUAAAUCUGUACGCUUAACGUACAGGCUGCCGGGAAUACUGCAGAGCUAGGGAGUGGGAGAGGUAGACGGUACUCGGUAGGAAGGGGUAAAAUCCUUUGAUCUAUUGAUGACCACCUGUGGCGAAGGCGGUCUACCAGAACACGUCCGACGGUGAGGGAUGAAAGCUGGGGGAGCAAACCGGAUUAGAUACCCGGGUAGUCCCAGCUGUAAACUAUGCAAACUCAGUGAUGCAUUGACUUGUGGUCAAUGCAGUGCUGCAGGGAAGCCGUUAAGUUUGCCGCCUGGGAAGUACGUACGCAAGUAUGAAACUUAAAGGAAUUGGCGGGGGAGCACCACAAGGGGUGAAGCCUGCGGUUCAAUUGGAUUCAACGCCGGA
Molecule: ribosomal RNA, 900 nt
Filed under: uncultured archaeon
Lineage: Archaea
Description: bacterial SSU rRNA
Rfam family: Archaeal small subunit ribosomal RNA
Source: RNAcentral